GAUAUGCUUAUGAGAAAAUUAUGUACUUAGUUUGCUUAAUUAGUACUUAUAUCAAGGAGUGAUUUAAGGAAUGACAUAUAUCUUGUAUCUUCUAUUAUAAAUAUGGACACUUAUGUAUUAUGCCAAGUACAAGAAAAUGAAACUGUAAUCCUUUAAAGUUCAUUCCAAUUCUCUCCCUUUCUCUCCCUUUUCUUCUUUCUUCCUAAAAACUCAACAGUGCCAAUGAUGAUGCUUUUGUAUAGUAGUAAAACUAGGUAAGGUUGAGACCCUGGAACCAAGAGGUCCCAUGUUCAAAUCCCACCAUUGUGGGGUUGGUUAUACUUACAUAUAAUUUGUUUGUGCGUUUGCUUUGUAGAUAUACGAAAAUUGGCAUCAUAUGCCAAAAGAAGCAUUAUGCAUCCAACUAUUCAACUCCUAAAGAAGUUCAUUAAUAAACAAUUAGAACAAGCAAAUUAACCAUGAUCAAGCACAAUUCUUGCAGGAACUGAAUAGAAACCAGACAAUAACUAUAAAUCAAUAAGCAUUUAGUUAAAAAAUAAAAAUACUUGGCCCGUUCCAAUAGAUCUUCACAACGUAACCGCCAAGCAAUG
Molecule: unclassified non-coding RNA, 590 nt
Filed under: Hevea brasiliensis (rubber tree)
Lineage: Eukaryota; Viridiplantae; Streptophyta; Magnoliopsida; Malpighiales; Euphorbiaceae
Source: RNAcentral